RNAcentral lists this ribosomal RNA (274 nucleotides) under uncultured bacterium. RNAcentral's name for it is "partial 16S ribosomal RNA". It matches the Rfam family "Bacterial small subunit ribosomal RNA", at positions 523 to 796 of the family's 1533-position model. The record is from RNAcentral.
AUACGGAGGGUCCGAGCGUUAUCCGGAAUCAUUGGGUUUAAAGGGUCCGUAGGCGGGAAUCUAAGUCAGUGGUGAAAUCUUGCAGCUCAACUGUAAAAUUGCCAUUGAUACUGGAUUUCUUGAAUUAGUGUGAAGUGGUUAGAAUGUGUAGUGUAGCGGUGAAAUGCAUAGAUAUUACACAGAAUACCAAUUGCGAAGGCAGAUCACUAACACUAUAUUGACGCUGAGGGACGAAAGCGUGGGGAGCGAACAGGAUUAGAUACACCAGUAGUCC